CUGAAAUAACCAUUCAAAGGAAAUAAGUUUCCGACCUAUUUUCUGAAAAUGAUAGAAGUUAGUAGAGUAGCCUUGAUCAAACGCAACGGACGUGUUUUUCCCGUGGAAACGAAAUGUAUAAAAGAAGUAGAAGCAGAAGAAGAAAAAGAAGGAGAUAAAGACGAAGAUGAAGACGAAGACGAAAAGAAGAAAGAGGGGAAGAGAAAUAGAGGACUCGCGAGUGGCUGAUCGUGGAUCGAGAGACCUUGACACAUUUUGUUCGGUGGCGCCAAAUUGGUCGUCGAGCAGGCGGCCUAUCAUAAGAAAUAAGAAAGAGUCGAAAGGGAAGAGAUGCGAGAGGACGUCAGGUACAUGGAAAACAACGUAGUUAUGGGAGGACGAGAAGGAAAGAGAGGGAGGGAGGGAGGGAGGGAGAGAGAGAGAGAGAGAGGAAAAAGAGGCAAAGGACGAGAGAGAGGAAAAUCAAUGUCAGGCAGCGUGUGCGUUGCAGCCCAAAAUCAAGGGAGAGCCCUAGGCCCUCUCCCUCUUAUUCGAAGUGUACUACGGAGUGAGAGGAGAAGAGCCCUGGUCGAUUCGCGGCUGCAAGGGAUGCCAACCCUCUUUCACCGAGCAAAGGAGGAGAGACCAUCAGGGGAAACCAUAACCUGCACAACGGUCCACUUUCGAAACUUCUCCACGAUUCAAGAUGUCCGUUGAGAAUCCUUUCUGGAGCCGAUGUGAUAUAUACGUGAGAUUAUAACAAUUCUUAAAAUGAUAAAUCUAAUUGUCAAUGUUUUAUAAUAAUAACGAAACAAAUAGAUUUAACGAAUGCCUCGUACAAUAGUUUUGUCCGACCGCAACAUUCCAUUUCCACUUUCAAAGAGAAAUUCUCAGGCGGACGAAAAUUUCGAACUUUCCGUCAAACGUUCUAAACUAUAGUUUUUCUUUUUUGUAAUAUCUAGUUCUCAUAAAGUCCUAAAAAAAGAAAAAAAAAAAAAAAAAAAAAAAAAAAAAGAGGAAGAAGAGAAAGAAAAAAUAAUCAACUGAUUCUUUCGUUGAUUAUCGACGAGAAGGAGAAACGAUUGGGAUGUCUUUCUUAUUUAAAAUAAUGCGAAAAGUCUCAUUAUUAAGAAAGCAAUUUUUCGUAAGGUCAUUUUUUUUGGACAUUUAGGAGGAGCUCUUCUCUCUUUUCCAAGGAUGGACCACCCCACGAGAUGGUUCUCCGGCAGGCUCUCGAAAAAAUUUCAAGCACGAGAGGAGCCACGAGAGAUAGCCGAACGGUCUCGUCGACGUAUAUUCGACUCUCAACAUAGUGUCACGCACACGAGCGCGCAUCUACGUAAGUAAGUACGUCUCCACGUACAAUCACGCGAUGUAGCAAGCGCGUACGCACAAGCAGCCACACGGGGGACGAGCAUAAGCGCGCACACGCACACGCAUACACACUUACGUAAGCAAACGCGACGGUCGAAGCACGCAAACCUUGCGCGUCGUCGUCCACGAAGAACUUUUGGCGGCACGUGCACCUACACCAAUGCGUCGGCCGUUGCACGAACACAGUCGCACACGCAUCCGUGCACGCACGCAUUCGUUUAUUGAUUGGUGCGUGCUCUACCAACAGGAGCGUUUAAGCAUUUUCGGGUACCCCGUGCCAUCGACCAAUCAACGAGUAAUUUUUGUCCUUUGCGAACGACUACAACGAAUUUAAUAUAUUAAUGGCAAUUUAUCAUACGCUCUUUUUUUUCGCGUUUUUUCUAACGAAAAACAAAAUUGCUCUUUUCCCACCAAAAAUACGUGUCUCUUAAAUUCGAUAUAUAAGUUUUAUGAUCCGAAUCGAUUUUGCCUACGUCCAAUGUCCAAUGAUUCCCACUGUAUUAAUAGAACCUGUUCGAUAGCAAUAAAUUGAAAAACACAAGAGAGAGAGAGAGAGAGAGAGAGAGAGAGAGAUGGAAAGACAGACAGAGACAGAGAAAGAGGGAGAGAGAGAAAGAGAGAGAGAGAGAGAGAGAGAGAGAGAGAAGAAGAUAAAAAGAGAGAUUGAAUUAUCUAUACUCUUGCAGUAAAUUAGAAGAGCUUUUUCAUCCCCACCACUUUCUAAAAACGUAUCUUUAUGCAGGUGGCGCUACCGUUCGAGAGCGUCCAGAAACUUCCGCAAUGAACAAGAGAGAAAGAGAAAGAUAAAGAGAGAUAUAGCGGGAGAGAGAAAAAAGAGGAACACUUAGGUAUAAAUGUGUGAGAGUACGCCCACGAUGCAGCAUUUCGAUAAGGGAAGAGACAUACUCCCGUGGUGGUUGCCGCGUUUCUCCUUUGUGCAGGAAAAUACGAAAGUAGAAAGAGAAAGAGAGGAAUGAGGGCCAGAGAUGGGUAGGACGAUGGAAGCUCCGAAAGGGGUGGAAAGAGCAGGAUGAGAGGUAUAGGAGGGAUUCCUGGAUUUCCAGGGAAGAUAGCGUUACGCAUUGUGCGUGGGAGGGUAGCGCCGAGCUAACGCGCCUCUCCGUUGUUUUAUUCCGACUUGUCGAGCCGAGGAGUAUGGUAAUAAAGCUCGGAGGGACCGACCAUGUCCCUCUUCUCUGUCCCUCUUUCCCACCGAAGCGUUUCCUUUCGUAAGAUAAAAAAGAAAAAGAAAAAAAAAGAAAAAAAAAGAAGAAAAGACCAAAAGAAAAAAACCGUUCAAACGCUCGUGUCUCUAUUUUUUCGGUCUGCCUGAAUAUUUUUGGCUUACUACGUGACUUACACUACUCCUUUAAUCAUGAAUAGAUCAUAGAUUUUCAUAAAAUAAUCAUCGCGCGCGUGAGCACUUUGAUAUUUUAAUGUUAAUAAAUUAUUAUUCGGGGCAAGUACGCCGGAACAUGGUACACAACGCAUAGAUUGGGAUAUCCGGCCGGCGUAAAGCGCAAUUACUCGUGCGUAAGGUAUGCUGCAUUUUGUAGCGUUGAAAACAUAGGGAACAUGCUCGCUCGCAUCAACGGAUACGAUACGAUAUAGUGACCAUGACAUAGAACGCAAUAGACGUGCCUGGUGCUUUUUAGUAGUACCAUUUUAAAAUUGCAGAACGUGCAUCCCGAUUACAUACGAUUACCAAAUUGCUAGUCUCUAGUGUUGUGUUUCGUAUUACCUUAAAUGUACAUACACAAGUAGAAUAUAUUCAUUCAUACAGAUAGAAAUAGGAAAUUUACGAUUCUUACGACAAAAGAUAUACGAGUAGGCGGUUCAACAAUUUGAUCGUUGCAUAAAAUAAAAGCUGUUAGGAAAUGAUCACGUGCACGUGUAUCUAUGUACACGUAUACGUAUAUACGUAUUUAUAAAUAUAAAAGAACAGGACGGAAAAGAGCUCUAGCGAAAAAUGAACGUCGGACCGUGCUAAUACGUAUGCUUCAUUUAUCAGUCGCAUGAGUUGGCCCUCUGACGGUGUUAUCAUAAAUUAUUUCGUGACCCGAAUUCGGUAUUGCAUGAGCAGCCUAGACUCUAUCGUAUCCGGCCACCAUCACUGUCACAAACUCCACCUCCUCUUCUAACGGUUAACGACAACGACACGACGUCGUCGUCGUCGUCGACCGCUUCGAACGUGCAUGUGUGUGUGUGUGUGUGUGUGUGUGUACGCGCGCGCAACCGUGUCUUCGAACGCAAACGCGCAGCCACGCACGCAACGAGCGGCGCCGUUUGUGCUCGCGAACAAAAACGUAAAGCGAGGACGUUCGAUUCUUUAGGGGGGGGAAAAAAAAAGAAAAAAAAAAAAAGAAAUAGAAAGAUAAUCGUUGACUAUCGUCGACUAUCGCCAGGAAGAAAAAUAACGGGAAAAGAAAUGGAGUCGUACUCACCCUCGGGUGUCGAUACGGUACCAGCCUUGUUCAUCUUCGUAUUCCACAUGGCAGGAGUAGUUGGAGCGGGACUGAGAUCUGGAGUUGGUGGAUGUGCCGGUGGUAUCGAUACCAUCGCGGAGCCCAUUUGCGCGCCACGUUGUAAAUGUUCCGAAUUUGAGCCGUACCCCUCGAACCCCCUACCCCCGGAAUAUACCUCGCUCGAUAAUUUCUCUGCCAACUUCUCUGCUCGCUCUCGAUCCGUCAAUACCACCGGUUCCUGCUUUAUUCGUAGAUCUGUCAAACAAAUGCGAAGAUAUUCGCGAAAUUAGAUUUUACAAAAUAACUCGUUUCUUCGUCCAAAUUAUUACAAAAUCUUAUUAGACCGAUGAUUUUAUAACACAAUAUUCAACUAACCUUCAGCGACGCUUUCCUUGUAAUCACAGUUAUUCCGUUCCUCUGACCGCGCUUGUUCCAAUUCCUGCUCGAGUUCCGUUGGCGUGUGAGGCGCGGUAUGCGAGUGAGCUGGUGUUUCCGAGGGAUGGGCAAAGGGCUGAUAAAAGUGACUUUCCAAAAGAAGAGGAUGCGGUGCUGAAGCUGGCCGGAAUGCUGCACCGUCGCGCAACACGCUCGCCCUACCUAACGUGUCGACGUCGCUUGGCGAUCUGCAAGAUCGGACGAACACUAAAAUUGUUUAUUAGAAGUACCGGAAUAAUGACGAAACUACAAGGGAAGAAAAAAAAAACAACAACAACACGUGUCUUCUUCUUGUUAUGAACAAAAGAUAAAUGACGAAAUCGAUUAUCAAACCGUGAUUACGAAACCGAGCGACAGUCCUCGGAGAAUCGGCUGUUAGAUAAGCCAAAGUAUUGUGCGUGCAACUCACACGCAUAGAAAUCUUUACGUAAAGAUGCGCGUACACGAACGCGCAUAGCUUGCAUAAUAUCAAAAGAGGUCUAAAUCUCUAAAUGAUGUUGAACGGGGAGAAAGGGGGAAGAGAAGGGAGGACGUCCUCCCUCCUCGUUGCGUCAAUCCAUUUAAUCGACACAAUAGUCUCGCGAAAGGUCACCGAGGAAACUAAACGAAAAUAGUGGCGAAAAUAAUGUCGUAGCUUUUCGAACGAAAAAAUAAAAGGGCCUUACCUCAUUAACCUCUUUGGGGGACUUUCGAAAUAGUGAGAGUACAUGCUGGGUACGGUGUAUGCCGGUGCCGGGGACGGCGCAGGCGUAGGGGUUGCGUCUCUGCGUCUUUUUAUACUGUUCCUCAGCAUCGUAGCUUCACCGGCCUCGCUGAGAUCGGUGAUGUCACCGACUCCACUAUCGCCAACAGCACUCGUAGUAGAUACUGCACCAGCAGCGAUACUACCAUUUGGAUUUCCACUACCGCUACCGUCGACGCUACCACCAACUCCAACGCUGCUGCUACCACCGAUACUUCCUGGUGCACCGACUUCGCCAACUCCGCUACCUCCACCCCCGCCACCCUCUCCGCCGGUGUCCGUCGACGAAUUAUUGCUCUCAGCCGCAUGUCUCUGCGCCACUGCUAAUUUCUCGUGCUCGAUCGACAGACCUUUUACCUGUUGUUCCAACAGUUUUUUUUUUAUUUUAUCAUGUUUAAUUUAACAAUUUCACUUUUUCUAACCAUAUAAACUCGCAUCUGAUUUGUAUUCUUUAAAUCGUUUCUUCGAGUAAUCUAUCGUUAAUUAAAUAAACGAUAAGAUAGAGAUAAAAGAGAGAGAGAGAGAGAGAGAGAGAAGGGUAAGAAAGAGAGGG
Molecule: long non-coding RNA, 5548 nt
Organism: Vespa mandarinia (Asian giant hornet)
Lineage: Eukaryota; Metazoa; Arthropoda; Insecta; Hymenoptera; Vespidae
Source: RefSeq, a predicted model, not a curated record